CGCGGCCUAUCAGCUUGUUGGUGAGGUAACGGCUCACCAAGGCAUCGACGGGUAGCUGGUCUGAGAGGAUGAUCAGCCACACUGGGACUGAGACACGGCCCAGACUCCUACGGGAGGCAGCAGUGGGGAAUAUUGCACAAUGGGCGAAAGCCUGAUGCAGCAACGCCGCGUGCGGGAAGAAGGCCUUAGGGUUGUAAACCGCUUUCAGCAGGGAAGAAAAUGACGGUACCUGCAGAAGAAGGUGCGGCCAACUACGUGCCAGCAGCCGCGGUGACACGUAGGCACCAAGCGUUGUCCGGAUUUAUUGGGCGUAAAGAGCUCGUAGGCGGUUCGGUAAGUCGGGUGUGAAAACUCUGGGCUCAACCCAGAGACGCCACCCGAUACUGCUGUGACUUGAGUACGGUAGGGGAGCGGGGAAUUCCUGGUGUAGCGGUGAAAUGCGCAGAUAUCAGGAGGAACACCAGUGGCGAAGGCGCCGCUCUGGGCCGUAACUGACGCUGAGGAGCGAAAGCAUGGGUAGCAAACAGGAUUAGAUACCCUGGUAGUCCAUGCCGUAAACGUUGGGCACUAGGUGUGGGUCUCAACCAACGAGAUCCGCGCCGUCGCUAACGCAUUAAGUGCCCCGCCUGGGGAGUACGG
Molecule: ribosomal RNA, 639 nt
Filed under: uncultured bacterium
Lineage: Bacteria
Description: bacterial SSU rRNA
Rfam family: Bacterial small subunit ribosomal RNA
Source: RNAcentral